This 511-nucleotide unclassified non-coding RNA is filed under the name uncultured Glomus. Its description in RNAcentral is "SSU rRNA". It matches the Rfam family "Eukaryotic small subunit ribosomal RNA", at positions 569 to 1081 of the family's 1831-position model. Lineage: Eukaryota; Fungi; Glomeromycota; Glomeromycetes; Glomerales; Glomeraceae. The record is from RNAcentral.
AGCAGCCGCGGUAAUUCCAGCUCCAAUAGCGUAUAUUAAAGUUGUUGCAGUUAAAAAGCUCGUAGUUGAAUUUCGGGAUCAAUAUGUUGGUCGUGCCUCGGUACGUACUAGCUUAUUGGUUUCUCCUUUCUGAAGAACCAUGAUGUCAUUUAUUUGGUGUCGUGGGGAAUCAGGACUGUUACUUUGAAAAAAUUAGAGUGUUUAAAGCAGGCUCACGCUUGAAUACAUUAGCAUGGAAUAAUGAAAUAGGACGUUUGAUUCUAUUUUGUUGGUUUCUAGGAUCGACGUAAUGAUUAAUAGGGAUAGUUGGGGGCAUUAGUAUUCAAUUGUCAGAGGUGGAAAUUCUUGGAUUUAUUGAAGACUAACUACUGCGAAAGCAUUUGCCAAGGAUGUUUUUCAUUAAUCAAGAACGAAAGUUAGGGGAUCGAAGACGAUCAGAUACCGUCGUAGUCUUAACCAUAAACUAUGCCGACUAGGGAUCGGAUGAUGUUAAUUUUUUAAUGACUCAUUC